AGGCGUUCAAAACAUUAAACGUUGGCUGAUUUAUGAUUAGGCUAGUGUUAUGCACGCAACGCUAGAGAAAAUUGGUAGUAUUUAAUAAUGCGUUGGUGGCAAAUCUAUCGAUUUUGAUCUUCGCAUUUUGAGGUACUAGCACAGU
This 145-nucleotide small nucleolar RNA is filed under the name Drosophila ananassae. RNAcentral describes it as "snoRNA:GF26132". The record is from RNAcentral. Lineage: Eukaryota; Metazoa; Arthropoda; Insecta; Diptera; Drosophilidae.